RNAcentral lists this transfer RNA (57 nucleotides) under Bos taurus (domestic cattle). It matches the Rfam family "tRNA", at positions 8 to 63 of the family's 71-position model. Rfam says of the family: Transfer RNA (tRNA) molecules are approximately 80 nucleotides in length. Their secondary structure includes four short double-helical elements and three loops (D, anti-codon, and T loops). Lineage: Eukaryota; Metazoa; Chordata; Mammalia; Artiodactyla; Bovidae. The record is from Rfam by way of RNAcentral. RNAcentral also lists the same sequence under 3 other names.
UGGCUCAGAGGAUAAAGCGUCUGUCUGCAAUGCAGGAGACCCGGGUUCGAUCCCUGG